UAAUAUCAUCAGGAGCGGUUUCGUAUUUGAAACCCACCAACCGAGCCCAGAUAAAUCAUGGUCACGGUGGUUAGAGCCUUAAACGCUAGAUGCGCCCAGGAAAAUGGGAAACAUGAUUAGCCGCCU
Molecule: non-coding RNA, 126 nt
Filed under: unclassified sequences
Description: SAM-I-IV sequence
Rfam family: SAM-I/IV (S-adenosyl methionine) riboswitch aptamer
About the family: It is found upstream of a number of genes which code for proteins involved in methionine or cysteine biosynthesis. It has been found mostly in the order Actinomycetales.
Source: Rfam by way of RNAcentral